This is a long non-coding RNA of Lolium perenne, 3834 nucleotides long. RefSeq lists it as uncharacterized. The record is from RefSeq and is a predicted model, not a curated record. Lineage: Eukaryota; Viridiplantae; Streptophyta; Magnoliopsida; Poales; Poaceae.
CCCUACCUCACCCAAUCACGCACCCAGCUCCUCCCCAAUCCCCUCCCGUUCUUCUCAUGGCGCGUCUGGCGGCGCCGCUCUGCUUCCCUGCUGCCCACCCUUCUCCUUCUCCCACUCCCCAUCUCCAACCUCCAGCCCCCGCGCUGCUCUGCCUCCCUCGACGGCCGCCGGCCAGCAGGAGUAGCGCACCGCCGGCGCAAGCAGGAGGGGCUGCUGGAGCUCCGCCCUUGAUGGUGAUGGCGGACUCGAGCUCACGCCGGAGACCUCCACAGCGGCAGCGCGGGCGACCUCCCUAGCCGCGUUUCUGGAGGCAGAGGACGGCGCAGCUCCACCACCUCGCUCGCAGCGCAAGGACACCCGCUUCCUGCUCCUCUUGGCUGGCCAUCCCUGUCUUCUGCACAGCCUGACGCCUUCCCCACCAUGAGAAGACAGGGGAGAGGAAGGCAUGGUCUGCAACGUCCAUCCAUGGCCCCUCUACAUGGAGCGGCAGCCAGCCAUGUGCAGCUUCCUCUGGCCCAACCCAUCUCUCCACGUCCAUGCCUUUGCUGAUUUGAGAUGUGUUUUUGCAUCUAUGCAUAUGAACUGUUUGAGGAAAUGUCUAAGCAGGCUGCAUAUAAAUUGUUUGAGGAAAUGUCUAAGCAGGUUGCACGAACAAAAUAUCUACCUUUUUAGGGCUAUUUUGUCGUCUUUUCUUACCUAUGAUGGUCAAGCUGGUUAUGUUUCUUACCGUCAGAGCUAGAAUCUUAACCCUUACAGUGGUGGUGGUUGUUGUCUUGUACAACUUGCCACAAAUCAGUGAUUGCACAUGGUGCUCAAUACACAUACUCUAAUUUAAAUGUUUUGUUGUUGCUGCAUUGCAUUGCCGAGGUACUGAGAGCAGCUACCUUGACAUAGGGCAUGCUCCCGAGGAAGGGGUUGAGGAGGUCAGGGUGAGGGGGAGAGAGAGACUCCCCCAGUUUUAGCUUGUGGCUCUGGUGUACUAGACAAAUUAGCUUAUAUGCUCCUAUUGCGGAAAUUAAUUGAUUAUGAAGCAAAUAAGAUGACGUUGGUCUGUCCCUAAUGCCUUCUUUCAAGCCCUGGUGAGUUCAGAUGUUCUACUUCUCAUAGCUACUUAUGAGCCAUAUUUACAGAUCUGUAAUGAUUAUGCAAUUAUAUUUUGUCUUGCCGCUUUUCAUUUUUAUUCUAGGUCAUUUGUUUAGCCAAAAAAAUGUUGGUUUACCUUUCAUCUAAAGAAAGUGUUUCUAAAAUUGUUAACAUUCUGCCUUAGUAUUCCUGAUGUUGCGUACAUGGUUUCAUGCGUUUCUUUUACCUCCCUUUGAUUAUCGUUCAGCAAAUGUUUGAAUGACGAUGUCCAUGCUCUAGAAAGUUUCGAUCAAAUUUCGUUGUAUAUGAACCAAGAUCUACAGAUGUCCAUGCUCUACAGGUUACAUGGUGUACGGUACAGUUCUGGGAGUUAGCUGAUGACAGUAUAUUUGCACUUUUAUUUUGGUGCUUAACAGAGGUAAAUAAAUUGCAGUCUUAUUUUAUUUCUUUGUGCUAAAAAUUCAAGAAAUGAUAUGUUGUACUUGGUUUAUGAGUAUUUCUUGUAUAGAGAAAGCUUUAUAUACAUAUAAGCAUUACUAUUUUGGUUGUCCAUAUAUGGCACCACCAUAUGUGCAUUGAAUUCUGGACCCUAUAUAUAGAAAAAAUUAUCUUCCUUUACUUCACGAUCAGAUAUUCUUUCACAUGGAUCAUAAAUAGCCUGCGGUCUUCUUCUUUGUAUUCUUGUUUAUUCUUAUGCAGUUUAUGUUUUUUCGCUCUUUAGGUUUGUAACUGAAAAUCCAUGUGAUAUAAUUGCAGUCAGUUGCAGGUGUUAACAGUAUUCAUGUGCACCAAUGAAAUAUUAACAGAGAGGCUUGGUUCGAGGCUCUUUUAGCAUUUCUGGCAGAGAAGAAGAUAUGGAACAAAUGCUAACUAGCUUCCCUUUGUAGAGCUGGUGCUAGCUAACUUCCUUUCUUUCUCUUUUGACAAUUGCUCGAUCGCUGCAUGUGUUACAAAAUUUCUUUUUCCUAAAGAAAUUAUCAAGCUUGCUUGCUUGGCCAUGGGCAUUUUAAAUUGUGGUGAACAAACAAGUCUCAACCAAGUGUUACAUACAGUUUAUUUGUGUCAUGAUGCUAUAUAUAUGAACUUUGGAUGCAAUAGUUUCAUUCAAAUUUCACCACCAUCUUAUUUCAGCACCUUAUGAGCAAAUGCGCUGCUUUGUUUUUCCUGAGAAGUCAUAUAAUGCUACCUGGGUAUAACAUUGUGAGAGUCUAUUAUUUUCAAGCAUAUAUGUACUGAUUCAGUAGAAGGUGGUGUCAGUUUAGUUCAUUUAUCCUAACUGAGUCUUUUAGUUGGAUACCAUGCGCAUUGCUUGCCUAUUUAUUCCAUUUUCUUCUAAAAUUCUGAAUAUUGAUGGUUUUCUUGCUGUCUUGAAUUUGUCUGAUGGAAACUUCUCUCCCCUAACUCAGUAGCUUCCGUUUGCAGUAACAAGCAUUGAUGAUAUAGGUCUCUACUGUUCCCCAACUUAGAAGCUUCCGUUUUCAGUAUGUGGUUUUCACAUGUGUUUCCAUAUCACUGAUAGGUAAAACCAAUUUUAUGUCCAAUACAAAUUGGCACAGAAGAACAUGAUUAGGAGGGAAGAGUUACCGCUUUGGAGUUUGAUAAUUUUAAAUUGGCCAAUGCUUAAUUUUGGCCGUGGUUCACAUAGACUGCAUGAGGUCACUUCUGCAUUAGGUAAACCUUCUGGUUUCUUCUGCCUGUACAGCUAACGUGUUAGUCAGAUAUGUGAGUUAUUUCUACCAUUUUGUUAUCCGUAUCUUCGAAUCAUAUGCUUUGAAUAAUCCAGUGAGUUAUCCAUGUCAUGUAAUGCCUUCGUUGUGAGGCAAGGUUGCGGUGUCGUGGCUGCAGGCAGAGCAGCCAACAGAGGCCUUCAGUGUCUACUACUUUUUCAUUGUUGCAUGCGCUGCUUCGAGAUCUAGCGGCACAACGACCCUACUUGAGUUCAUGAUCCCUGCACAAUGUCUGUUGCUGAAGUUUGCAUACAGAUCAUUUUGCCGUUGAGGCUGUUGAUAUUCACAAGCAAGUAAAAUGCCGAGGAGCACGGGAAAAGGCAAACCACGACCACGUGGCUCCGAUAAAAUCUGGGUAUGUAGAAACAUAUCUUUAGGAAGAACAAUUCUGGGUAGAAGCAUACCGUGACUUGUUGAGCCUGUUAUUGAUGAUCCUGAUCCAGGCAAAGGGACCAUUAUCAGUAGUCCUGACAACAAGUCUAUCAUUUGGUGUUUCGCAACACUGGUCAUAAUGUUCAGAUCCAAAAUUCUUCAGAUUUGGGGAUUCUGAAUUCCCGAUGUACCAAUGAAAAUAGCAAUGAGUGACAUAGGUUGCUUGGAAAAUAUGUCGUGCCUUGCAAGUUCCUGAGUAUUGUGGUUAACAAGAGGAUCUAUGUGGUACAUGUGACAGUUGUCGCGAAUACAGAUUGAAGAAGUUUAAACUAUAUAGCUUGAAUUAGAGGGACAAUGUUUGUAUUCAGAAGUACAUGCUGUCUUUGAUUUACCAUUCUUCCUAAGCUAAACCAAACUGAGAGAGAUCCGAGGGGAAGAAAAAAGAUGCACCUGAUUGAGACGGCGACCUGGUAAAAUAGCACGCCGGUCUCCACGCCGAUGAGGACACUGGACCCGUUCCGCUGGCGCCGUCAAGCACCUCAACAAGCCUUUGGUUUCUGGUGGCAAGAGAACUGACACUCAGUGUCAAGGUCAUCAUGCAAGGAGCCACCACCUAUGGACAGCAGCAACGCCAUGGAUCUAGACAGCGCGG